ACUACAACGACCAACUGACCCAUAUUCAGGUAAUGCUGCCCUCUUGUGGCUCGUUGGAGUAACUACAUCCACCUCCGAACCCACAAUCAGGUAAUGCUGCCCUCUUGUGGCUCGUUGGAGUAACUACAACGACCAACUGACCCAUAUUCAGGUAAUGCUGCCCUCUUGUGGCUCGUUGGCGUAACUACAUCCACCUCCUAACCCACUAAAAGGCAAUGCUGACCUUCCUUCUGCUCCAUUUGCAGAAAUCACCACAGACUUCCGUCCGAGAUAGUCCAGUGGUGUAAAACUCUGCCCGCGGUGCCGGUGACCCGGGUUCGAUCCCCACACUCUCUGUCCCAUUUAUAAUAUAUUGCACAUACAUUUACAUAAAUGGAGCAGAAGGAAGGACCGAACUCGAGCCGCCUGCGUCGUAGGUAGCGUAGCUGCACACUGGACAAACUCCAGCUUGACAAUUUUUGGCAUUGGGAACGUAUUGAUCCUUUGCUGUGGUCUAAUACACUGUGCGGUUCUGGUGUCUUUGGUUCGAUUCCCACCGUUUCUGAUUUGUAAAUAUAUAAAUGGAGCAGAAGGAAGGAUAGAACCCGAGCCACCAGCGUCGUAGGCAGUGUCUCUACACACUGGACUACUUGCAUCCAUUCCAAACAUGAUCUGGUACCUUAUAUCCUCGUCCUCGUCCGGAUCCGACCCGAUAUGACCAAAAAUGUUCCAAAAAAAUAGGCUAAUAAUUUAAAACGCUGCCUCCGGAUUCGGCGACCCUGGUUCGAGCCCGGCCUGAGCCCAUCGAUAAUAAGUGAAUUCUCAUUCACGAGGGUCACUUGCUUGUCAGGACUUUGACUCGAUCGCAACUGGACUGUUCUGUCGGACUUGGACGUUUCUCGACAUUUCUCCAAGUAUGUUGAAACACACGAGGACCAUUCGGCCAUCCUUGCUGAACUCUUUUCGCGACGUUUUACUUGUACUUAUGGAAUCUGAUUUCUGGCUUAGUGAAUUGCAUCGAGGACUACGACUCAGUGGGGACUUAGAAGGCGAACGUUCUUUGUGGCAGCAUGCAGUCACCGUCGUUUCCACAAGAUCGACAAAACUUUGACAUUGUGCAAAACUUCAACCUAAAGUGACCAACGUGUUCUUUUUUUUCUUUAAUUUAAACAUAAUGAAUCAAGUAUAUCUAAUUGUCUCAUUUCUGUCCACAAGUUCAAAUCUGCAACAGAAUGGCCAACUUGACCUUAAAAUG
This is a long non-coding RNA of Phyllopteryx taeniolatus (common seadragon), 1234 nucleotides long. RefSeq lists it as uncharacterized. The record is from RefSeq and is a predicted model, not a curated record. NCBI's taxonomy places the organism in Eukaryota, Metazoa, Chordata, Actinopteri, Syngnathiformes, Syngnathidae. The transcript has 3 exons.